Molecule: long non-coding RNA, 1037 nt
Filed under: Chrysemys picta bellii (western painted turtle)
Lineage: Eukaryota; Metazoa; Chordata; Testudines; Emydidae
Description: lncRNA (ENSCPBG00000012696.1)
Source: RNAcentral
CGGGGUUGUCGUGUCCCACCCCCAGACAGCUUCACCUGGCGAGGCACCAACACGGGGGCAGCGUUGGGCCAGGUUCUGUCCCUGAUCCAGACGGAGCCGUCCAGAACCAGCACCAGGAAACACGUCGUGGUGCUGAUCACAAGUGGUGAGACAGACCCCCCCCCAUGGGGCAUAUACCCCCCAGGGCAGACAUUUGGGCUUAACACCCCCAUAGACCUGCCUGCCUGCCUCUGGGGAUCCCCCAGACCUCCCCGCCCUAGGACCCCCAGGGACCCCCAUGCCCCCUCAGCCCUCCACCAGCCCCCCACUCUCCCUGGCACCCCAGCACUCCAAGGGCUAGUGCACAGGGAUAGGAGCCCAGCCCAGCCUCCCCCCCCAACUCCAUUGGGGGCAUCUUGGCUCACGGUUCCUCCUUCCUGCCCCACCAGGGAGACACAAUGUGGGGCCGGACCCAGCCGGGGUCUCAGCACAAAUCCAGGCGGCCAUCCCCAACCCGGACCAGAACUUGGAUAUCUUCGCUCUGGGGGUCGGGGUUGCCCACAAGGACCAGAUGGAGCAAAUCGCCACGAAGAAGCCGGGAACCCAAAGAUCCUUCUACCUGCAGAGCUACCGUGACCUGGGGGCCUACACCCAGCUGGUGCAGGGCUUGGGCAAAGGUCUCAGCUGUGGGGUGCGGGACGUGGGGCGCAGCCGGUCCAUCGGGCGGGUUUUCCGUGGGGUGCAGGUGAAGAAGCAGUGGCCCUGGCAGGUGUAUCUGAAGUUGGAAGGCAAGGUAGGAGCCCCCCCGAUCCCCUCCCCCCAGGCCCCCCCAUCCCUCCACUGAUCCAUCUUUCUCCCCCCCCAGAAUCAGCCCUAUAUUAUGGCAGGGGGCUCAAUCAUAGCCCCCUCCUGGAUCCUGACCGCGGCUCACAACGUCUGGGACGCAGCGGCCGGGCGAUCCAUGGCCCCCGAGCAAGUGUCUGUGGUUGUAGGUGAGACUGGCACGAGGGGGCGUCAGGGGUCAAGGGCCUCUGCAGGGGGCUCUGGGGGCAUGGGGA